This 252-nucleotide ribosomal RNA is filed under the name uncultured bacterium. RNAcentral's name for it is "partial 16S ribosomal RNA". It matches the Rfam family "Bacterial small subunit ribosomal RNA", at positions 524 to 776 of the family's 1533-position model. The record is from RNAcentral.
UACGGAGGAUGCGAGCGUUAUCCGGAUUUAUUGGGUUUAAAGGGUGCGCAGGCGGCACGGCAAGCCGGCGGUCAAAUCGCGGGGCUCAACCCCGCCCAGCCGUCGGAACUGCCGGGCUAGAGUGGGCGAGAAGUGCGCGGAAUGCGUGGUGUAGCGGUGAAAUGCAUAGAUAUCACGCAGAACUCCGAUUGCGAAGGCAGCGCACCGGCGCCCUACUGACGCUCAGGCACGAAAGCGUGGGCAUCGAACAGG